ACCGGGUGCAGUGGUGCAUGCCUGUAGUCCCACCUACUUGGGAGGCUGAGGUGGGAGGAUCGCCUGAGCCCAGGAGUUCUGGGCUGUAGUGUGUUUUGCCGAUCAGGUGUCCGCACUAAGUUCAGCAUCAAUAUGGUGACCUCCCAGGAGCGAGGGAUCACCAAGUUGCCUAAGGAGGGGUGAAGCAGCUCAGAUCAGAAACGGAGCAGGUCAGAACUUCUGUGCUGAUCGGUAGUGGGAUCGCACCUGUGAAUAGCCACUUCACUCCAGCCUGGGCAACGUAGAGAGAUCCCACCUCU
RNAcentral lists this signal recognition particle RNA (299 nucleotides) under Cebus imitator (Panamanian white-faced capuchin). RNAcentral describes it as "Metazoan signal recognition particle RNA (ENSCCAG00000007062.1)". It matches the Rfam family "Metazoan signal recognition particle RNA". Rfam says of the family: The signal recognition particle (SRP) is a universally conserved ribonucleoprotein. It is involved in the co-translational targeting of proteins to membranes. The eukaryotic SRP consists of a 300-nucleotide 7S RNA and six proteins: SRPs 72, 68, 54, 19, 14, and 9. Lineage: Eukaryota; Metazoa; Chordata; Mammalia; Primates; Cebidae. The record is from RNAcentral.